Molecule: ribosomal RNA, 263 nt
Filed under: Gammaproteobacteria bacterium
Lineage: Bacteria; Pseudomonadati; Pseudomonadota; Gammaproteobacteria
Description: partial 23S ribosomal RNA
Rfam family: Bacterial large subunit ribosomal RNA
Source: RNAcentral
AGGACCGGAGUGGACGUACCUCUGGUGUUCCGGUUGUCACGCCAGUGGCACUGCCGGGUAGCUAAGUACGGACGGGAUAACCGCUGAAAGCAUCUAAGCGGGAAGCCCCCCUCAAGAUUAGUUCUCACUGGAUCCUCGAGAUCCCUGAAGGGCCGUUGAAGACUACGACGUUGAUAGGCUGGGUGUGGAAGUGCAGCAAUGUAUGAAGCUAACCAGUACUAAUUGCCCGUGAGGCUUGAUCACAUAACACCAGAACGUUUCAG